Corylus avellana is the source of this 108-nucleotide small nucleolar RNA. The record is from RefSeq and is a predicted model, not a curated record. NCBI's taxonomy places the organism in Eukaryota, Viridiplantae, Streptophyta, Magnoliopsida, Fagales, Betulaceae.
AUAUUGUGAUGAGGGCAUCUGAGAAGUAGUUCUUUAAAGUGUUCCCAUGCCUCGAAGAAAGGGUCUCCGUCUUUUUAUUGGAAAGUCAGAAUUUCCCUUCUCAAUUGC